UACAGAGGUCCCAAGCGUUGUUCGGAUUUACUGGGCGUAAAGGGCGCGUAGGCGGCGCGGUAAGUCACUUGUGAAAUCUCUGAGCUUAACUCAGAACGGCCAAGUGAUACUGCAGUGCUAGAGUGUGGAAGGGGCAAUCGGAAUUCUUGGUGUAGCGGUGAAAUGCGUAGAUAUCAAGAGGAACACCUGAGGUGAAGACGGGUUGCUGGGCCAACACUGACGCUGAGGCGCGAAAGCGUGGGGAGCGAACAGG
Molecule: ribosomal RNA, 253 nt
Filed under: uncultured bacterium
Lineage: Bacteria
Description: partial 16S ribosomal RNA
Rfam family: Bacterial small subunit ribosomal RNA
Source: RNAcentral